GUGGUCAUGUGACGCGGAAAAGGGCGGACGCGUGGCCCACGCACUGGAACGGCUCCACGUCCUGCAGACACAUUCUGGGACUGCACCUUAUGAGUGCUGCUCACUCUGUUUCCUGCAGAAGACAUACAGAGCCGUUCGCAUAGAGUAGGGCCAUGAUUUUGAUUCAGCAAUUCUUCAAACCACUGAUGCUGGUUGACCAUUUGACUUUGUUUUUGAAGUAUUUUUUACAUACAGUGUACAGAACAUUUCCGCUGGAUAUUUGGAUACUGAACAGGAGUAACAAGAGGAACAGCUCCUACCUCCCCCCUGCCCCUUCCCUCACAAGCCUGUGAGUCAGGGCAGGGGCAGCCACUGAAAGUAGCAGAGGCCUUCAUAAAGGAGAACACUUCUCCAUGUUGCCAUCAUGUGAAGAAGGACAUGUUUGCUUCUGCUUCUGCCACGAGUGUUGAAGGCAAUGGUGAUGAAAGUAAAUAUUUAAAAACACUACCAUAGCUGUCCCAAAUUUCAGAAAAACAAGGUACCACUGGAACCAUUUAAUUUUGUUGGAACACAGAAUGACCAUCUUGUGAUCAGUUUUCUGCAUCUUUAAAAUACCUGGAAGGUCAUCUUUAAAUAGUACAAUCUGAUAAAAGUUUAAUACUUAGUGUAGACUUAUAUGAAUACUUCUACAUUCAUACAUUUUUGUAUACUUAUACAUUUUCAUACUCAAUUAAUGCUUAAUUCAAAAAAUAUCUGAGUACCUGCAGUGUUCCCCAUGCUACAUACUGGGCUUAAACAGCCAAAAAGACACAGUCUUUGACCUCAAAAUACUUUGAUUCUUGUAAGAAAAACUGACAAAGACAAAGAGAAGGCAAUGUGAAAACUUCUACAGUUGGGAUAACCUUGGAGGUUACAGGAUGUGGACUCACUGAAAGCUUUCUGCUGGACUUGAACUUGAAGCUGAAGUCUGAAGGACAGAUGGGUGUUGCUUAGCGAAGGGAAAGUAGGAAGCAAAGACCCCUGGACAGAGUGUAGCAGGCACAGAGGGAGCAUGACACCUUCGGGAGAGAGCCGCAAGCACCUGGGCCCAGAUCCCAGCUUUAGCUUCAUUAGCCCUGUGAACUCUGUAUGUCAGCCUUGACAUAGAAAAAAAGAGGAUACUAAACCUCCAUCUUAAAAGAGACUUGGAAGAAGCUGGGAUUAUAGGCACACCACCACACCUGGCCCCAGAAAAGGGAAUCCUUGACCUGCAAGAAUCGAGGAAUAUUGUUUCUGACAUGCUCAGUGGACCUACUGCUGGUGUUCUUAACCAUUUCCUUCCUAAGUGGAACUUCUUUUGAGGUUAGUAGAAGCUGCAAACAGAAUUAUAUGGAAUUGAAUAUAAGAAAAUAUACAGUGAAGAGUGCUAAGAAUUCCUCUGAAAUGUAAUGAAAAGGUAGAUUUCAUUUAGCAUUCAGUAUAUUUAUCUUGAAGGAAAAAAGGUGGAAAUAUCAAAGGUUUGAAAAAAAAAAAACCUCUUUGCUUUUUCAUAUGCUAGAUGGAUCAAUUACUUUGUUGACUUAUUUAACAAGAGUCUUGUGGUUAAGCAAUAUAUAUAAAAUCACAAAAGUAUUAUAUUAAUAAUAUAACAUAAUAAUGUCCACCAUGAAAUCUGUAAUGAUAUGCGUGCACCUACCAAGUGUUGGGCACAGUGCUAAGUGAUUUCACAAAAUACUUAUUUAAUCUUCCUGGCAACUCCACUAAAGUAUUUAGGAACUGCUAUAGUUUGAAUGUGCUCCCUCCAAAAUUCAGGUGUUAUCAAUGUGAUAGAAGUAAGAGGUAGGGUCUGUAGGAGGUGAUUAGGCCAUGAGUGUUUCUCUCUCAUUAAUGGGAUUAAGGCCCUAUUAAAAGAGGCUUUGAGCAGCCUCAGGUCAGCUUGCCCUUCUGCUUUCUGCCAUGUGAGGAUGCAGCCAAAAAAGCCCUCACCAGACCAAGGGUCAGCAUCUUGAUUUUGGACUUCCCAGCCUCUAGAACUGUGAAAAUAAAUUUCUGUUCUUUACAAAUUACUCAGUCUCAGGUAUUCUAUUGUAGCAGCAAAGAACAGACUAAGACAGGGGCUCUAUGCAUCCAGUGUAAAGAUGCAGAUUUCCAGGCCCCACUCCAAUUCCUGAGUUACAUUACUGAGCAUGGGGGUCUGAGAACUGCAUUUUUAACAGGACACCCCUUCCCCUCAUGACCCUUUUGCCACCAUGUGCCGUUUUGUUUAACCUGCAUGACCAUUCACGACAGCCUUGCUUGGCGCACUGAAUGUGAGAACCACUGUUUUUUGAGGUAGGAGAUGAAUGGACACCAGCACUCAGAGUCCGGGUCCCCUUUCUCCUUUUCGUCAGCUGCAGAGUCACAGAAUAUAAAAUGUGGCUGCUCUGCAGUUAGGAGCUGACAUCAAAUACAUGUCCACUGGGAAGGGGAGCACUGCCUGCUACACAGAGCUUGGGCCGGAAUGAUUGCUUUUUGCUGACCAUGUAUUAAACACGUUGUCAUAACCCGGGCCCAGGUGGAGGGAGGAGAAGUUGACUUCUUCAUCCCUUGUUGUCUCACUGUCCUCUACCCUGAAGGGGCAGGAUCACCUUGGGCCUGGGCUGCUUAGACAAAGCUUUUCUUCUCUUCCAUAGCCCAUCAUGGGCAUCACUAGUGCCUUCCAGGGACCAAAUAGAAAUAUUUACCCGUGGUCAAAGGGACACAUAGUGACCAGCUAUUUUCUGCCCUGGUUUGACAACAAGGUAAAUGUUAUAAUCUCUCUCACACAGUUAAUGAGAGACACUGAUUCAAAAUUUCCUUGCUACUUUAAAGAACUUGAUCAAACAUAGCAUUGAUAUUGUCUUUAAUCACACUUACUGGACCACGAAAUCCUGGAGGGCCAAUGUCCCCUUUC
This is a long non-coding RNA of Homo sapiens (human), 2890 nucleotides long. Ensembl annotates it as MFF divergent transcript. Its record names the gene MFF-DT. NCBI's taxonomy places the organism in Eukaryota, Metazoa, Chordata, Mammalia, Primates, Hominidae. The record is from Ensembl.